GUUUGGUUCGAGUUAUGUAAUAUUACAAAGUAUCUCGACAUAUCCAGGUAUGUUGGAUUUCGGCGUGAGAUUACUACUAAUGCUGCAUUAGAGCGUUUGGUUUAAUACAGUAAUGUAAUACUAGAUUACAGUGUUUAUAGCAUUAAUAUGUUUGGUUUAGUUUAUAAAAUUUAGUAAUCAUGACAUAAAAGUAUAGUUUUUUUCCAAAAUUGCCCAUGUUGUAGUCAUUUGAAUAUUGUUUUUUGCGGAAAUGACGAAUGGAGGGAAGGAGAUCGUGAUAAUUACUUGGGAGGACGACGCAAUAGAAAAUGAUAGGUGUUCGUGCGAGAGAGAGAGAGAGAGAGACGUCGAGAGAGAGCGAGAGAAAGCGGCGUGCGAGAGAGAGGGCCGGGACGAAGGCGAGAGAGAGAUGAAAAUAAUACUGUUAAUUAGAUUUGGAAUUUUUGGAGGGUAAAAUUGUCAUUUUACAUAAUAUGUAGUAUUAACGGGUUUCAGUAAUGCAAGAUACACGACCCCCCUCCCGUUAAUAUUUUUGAUGUAAUCCUGCUCGAUUUGUAAUGCUACAUUAACGACCAGAUUACAUAGCGGAUUAACCAAACACAGUUAUCCUGGCAGGAUUGCCUGUAAUCCUGUCAGGAUAACUCGAACCAAACGCACCC
This 659-nucleotide long non-coding RNA is filed under the name Ananas comosus (pineapple). RNAcentral describes it as "long non-coding RNA (ACOM_LNC001846)". The record is from RNAcentral. Lineage: Eukaryota; Viridiplantae; Streptophyta; Magnoliopsida; Poales; Bromeliaceae.